GACGAACGCUGGCGGCGUGCUUAACACAUGCAAGUCGAACGAUGAAGAAAAGAAUUGAAGCUUCGGCAGAAAUUCAUUUCGGAUUAGUGGCAGACGGGUGAGUAACGCGUGAGCAACCUACCUCUUACAAAGGGAUAGCCUCGGGAAACCGGGAUUAAUACCAUAUAACAUUGCGACGAAGCAUUUCGAUGCAAUCAAAGCUACGGCGGUAAGAGAUGGGCUCGCGUCCCAUUAACCAGAUGGUGAGGUAACGGCUCACCAUAGUAACGAUGGGUAACCGGACUGAGAGGGUGAACGGUCACACUGGAACUGAGACACGGUCCAGACUCCUACGGGAGGCAGCAGUGGGGAAUAUUGCACAAUGGAGGGAACUCUGAUGCAGCGACGCCGCGUGAGUGAUGAAGGAAUUCGUUUCGUAAAACUCUGUUCUAUGGGAAGAAAAGGACUGUACCAUAGGAGAAAGCUCCGGCUAAAUACGUG
Molecule: ribosomal RNA, 480 nt
Filed under: uncultured bacterium
Lineage: Bacteria
Description: partial 16S ribosomal RNA
Rfam family: Bacterial small subunit ribosomal RNA
Source: RNAcentral